UGAAGGUGAGUUGAGAAGCUUGCUGGAGGUAUCAGAAGUGCGAAUGCUGACAUGAGUAACGACAAUGGGUGUGAAAAACACCCACGCCGAAAGACCAAGGUUUCCUGCGCAACGUUAAUCGACGCAGGGUUAGUCGGUCCCUAAGGCGAGGCUGAAAAGCGUAGUCGAUGGAAAACAGGUUAAUAUUCCUGUACUUCUGGUUAUUGCGAUGGAGGGACGGAGAAGGCUAGGCCAGCUUGGCGUUGGUUGUCCAAGUUUAAGGUGGUAGGCUGGAAUCUUAGGUAAAUCCGGGAUUCUAAGGCCGAGAGCUGAUGACGAGUUAACUUUUAGUUAACGAAGUGGUUGAUGCCAUGCUUCCAAGAAAAGCUUCUAAGCUUCAGGUAACCAGGAACCGUACCCCAAACCGACACAGGUGGUUGGGUAGAGAAUACCAAGGCGCUUGAGAGAACUCGGGUGAAGGAACUAGGCAAAAUGGCACCGUAACUUCGGGAGAAGGUGCGCCGGUGAGGGUGAAGGACUUGCUCCGUAAGCUCAUGCCGGUCGAAGAUACCAGGCCGCUGCGACUGUUUAUUAAAAACACAGCACUCUGCAAACACGAAAGUGGACGUAUAGGGUGUGACGCCUGCCCGGUGCCGGAAGGUUAAUUGAUGGGGUUAGCUAACGCGAAGCUCUUGAUCGAAGCCCCGGUAAACGGCGGCCGUAACAAUAACGGUCCUAAGGUAGCGAAAUUCCUUGUCGGGUAAGUUCCGACCUGCACGAAUGGCGUAACGAUGGCGGCGCUGUCUCCACCCGAGACUCAGUGAAAUUGAAAUCGCUGUGAAGAUGCAGUGUAUCCGCGGCUAGACGGAAAGACCCCGUGAACCUUUACUAUAGCUUUGCACUGGACUUUGAAUUUGCUUGUGUAGGAUAGGUGGGAGGCUUUGAAGCGUGGACGCCAGUCUGCGUGGAGCCAACCUUGAAAUACCACCCUGGCAACUUUGAGGUUCUAACUCAGGUCCGUUAUCCGGAUCGAGGACAGUGUAUGGUGGGUAGUUUGACUGGGGCGGUCUCCUCCUAAAGAGUAACGGAGGAGUACGAAGGUGCGCUCAGACCGGUCGGAAAUCGGUCGUAGAGUAUAAAGGCAAAAGCGCGCUUGACUGCGAGACAGACACGUCGAGCAGGUACGAAAGUAGGUCUUAGUGAUCCGGUGGUUCUGUAUGGAAGGGCCAUCGCUCAACGGAUAAAAGGUACUCCGGGGAUAACAGGCUGAUACCGCCCAAGAGUUCAUAUCGACGGCGGUGUUUGGCACCUCGAUGUCGGCUCAUCACAUCCUGGGGCUGAAGCCGGUCCCAAGGGUAUGGCUGUUCGCCAUUUAAAGUGGUACGCGAGCUGGGUUUAGAACGUCGUGAGACAGUUCGGUCCCUAUCUGCCGUGGACGUUUGAGAUUUGAGAGGGGCUGCUCCUAGUACGAGAGGACCGGAGUGGACGAACCUCUGGUGUUCCGGUUGUCACGCCAGUGGCAUUGCCGGGUAGCUAUGUUCGGAAUAGAUAACCGCUGA
Molecule: ribosomal RNA, 1538 nt
Filed under: insect metagenome
Description: bacterial LSU rRNA
Rfam family: Bacterial large subunit ribosomal RNA
Source: RNAcentral